RNAcentral lists this long non-coding RNA (1390 nucleotides) under Equus caballus (horse). RNAcentral describes it as "lncRNA (ENSECAG00000052410.1)". Lineage: Eukaryota; Metazoa; Chordata; Mammalia; Perissodactyla; Equidae. The record is from RNAcentral.
GUCGGCUCAAUAGAUCAGUGUUGUCCCCAAGGCCCUAGGCUCUUUCGGUCCUUCUGCUCUGCCAUCUUUAGUGUGUCAGUGAUCGUUCCCCUCGUGUUCAAGAGACGGCUGCCACAGCACCAAACAGCGUGGGUCAGGGAGCCAGUGGAUGAAGGCAGAUGGGCCUUCUCUUCAAGGGUCUCUCUUAUCAGAGAGGAAAAUCUUUCUCGGAAGCUUCUGGCAGGUUUCCUCUUCAGCAUCCUUGGCCAGAAUUAGGUCACACGCUUUCCUGUAGACCCUGUAAACCAGUCACUGACAACAGGAAUGCAGGGUUUAGAUCAACGCAGCGCAUCUGCUGGGAUUUCGCACUUCGGGACUGGAACAAAAUCAGGAUUUUUCGUUGUCGUCACUGUUGUUAGCAAGGAUGAAGAGGGAAAUGGCUGUUGGAUGGGCAACCAGGUCUGCCUGCCUCCAGAGCAGUUUGCUAUUCCAUUACUUGCUUUAGCCUGGAACUUGCUAUGAGGCAGAGCUACCAUAGAUCAUAUCAAAGGGAUUUAUUACUGAAAGUGUCAGAAAAACUGCUUUCUAACAGUGACUAAUACAUAACGAAGUCUCAAAGCCAGGAAUCUCCGGGCACUGGCGAUCCACGGGUAACGAGAGAGGAUUAGGUGUAAAUUUUGCUAUCGUGCCCUGGAAAAGAGAAACUAGGUGAGAAAAAAUACACAAAGAAACAUCUUAAGGAAAGCAAAUGUUGAUAAUCUUUUUUUUUGCAGACAUCCUCAGUCUUUUCAUUUUGUACUUUCCCCCCGAUUGACAUUCCAGAAAUGGCCGAUUUCUCUCAAAUGCUGUAUACUGGAAGAAUCCAAAGGAUUCAUCAGAUGGACACAUUUCAAAGAACCACUACCAAUUUUUUUUUCUUAAGAAGUGCAUCAAGCCUCUGAUUUGCUGCUGACAAAUUGUCUUAUGUGGUACAUCCCAGGCUCAGCAUGGAGGUCAUAAAGAUGAGUUUGAAAUGCCUCAAAGAGUGCAGCGCCUCAUGGGAGAGUCAGACAGAGAGGCAGCCAAGUCUAAAGCCAGUUUUUGUCUCUCUGCUCUGCCCCUCUCUCCCCGCUUUCCCCAGCCCUCCUCACCCUGGCCCCUCUCCCGUCUCCCCCUCCUUGCUUAGGUAUCUGCCCAGAGGACACCAUUUCUUCUCAGACGUGAUGACCAGGAAGAAUGUUUUUCAGUUAUCAUAAAGAUCGUGAGUUUCUGCUUUGCUCCAGUGACCACAUGAUGACUUUCUUUCCCAGCUUGUCAUGGAUUGGGUCUGCUUUUUCAAGCAUUUUAUAAUAAUUAUUUGGCUUUUUACCCUUCUGAAUUCUCUCUGGAAUUAAUAAAGUUAAAAAAAAUGACUUUGUUUUCUUCUUCUAAG